CUUCACCGAACCGAGCCACAGCGGUUCGUCGCGAUCCUGGCCGUAGGUCGCCAGGAGUGCUUGGGCCUC
Molecule: antisense RNA, 69 nt
Filed under: Amycolatopsis tolypomycina
Lineage: Bacteria; Bacillati; Actinomycetota; Actinomycetes; Pseudonocardiales; Pseudonocardiaceae
Description: ASpks TB sRNA
Rfam family: ASpks TB sRNA
Source: RNAcentral